RNAcentral lists this ribosomal RNA (468 nucleotides) under uncultured bacterium. RNAcentral describes it as "partial 16S ribosomal RNA". It matches the Rfam family "Bacterial small subunit ribosomal RNA", at positions 28 to 507 of the family's 1533-position model. The record is from RNAcentral.
GACGAACGCUGGCGGCGUGCUUAACACAUGCAAGUCGAACGGAAAGGCCCUGCUUUUGUGGGGUGCUCGAGUGGCGAACGGGUGAGUAACACGUGAGUAACCUGCCCUUGACUUUGGGAUAACUUCAGGAAACUGGGGCUAAUACCGGAUAGGAGCUCCUGCUGCAUGGUGGGGGUUGGAAAGUUUCGGCGGUUGGGGAUGGACUCGCGGCUUAUCGGCUUGUUGGUGGGGUAGUGGCUUACCAAGGCUUUGACGGGUAGCCGGCCUGAGAGGGUGACCGGCCACAUUGGGCCUGAGAUACGGCCCAGACUCCUACGGGAGGCAGCAGUGGGGAAUAUUGCACUAUGGGCGGAAGCCUGAUGCAGCACCGCCGCGUGCGGGAUGACGGCCUUCGGGUUGUAAACCGCUUCCGCCUGUGCCGAAGCGUGAGUGACGGUAAUGGGUAAAGAAGCACCGGCUAACUACGUG